RNAcentral lists this long non-coding RNA (283 nucleotides) under Gossypium barbadense (sea-island cotton). Its description in RNAcentral is "long non-coding RNA (GBAR_LNC002373)". Lineage: Eukaryota; Viridiplantae; Streptophyta; Magnoliopsida; Malvales; Malvaceae. The record is from RNAcentral.
GCACCUUAUGGUUACGUGUUUAUAAUGACCCAAACACUGUCCAUAUCACUAUUUUGCCAAGGUGGGUCAUUGGUGCAACCAUUGCUCACUAGAGUGUCGAAUACAAGAUCGAAGGCUAGGACCUACAAUAACAUACCACGGAGGAUAAGGAUGACACUAGCGAACCCGAAGAAGAAGGCUAGAGGGCAUUGAUAGGUGGGAGUCCUAGUGAGGAUGACACUGAAGAUAAAGUCUACAGGCUCGUACCUUCGAAUACACCUCCCGUUGUAUGUAGAAAUCCUCC